AACGAACGCUGGUGGCGUGCUUAACACAUGCAAGUCGAAACGAGAAAAGUUUCCUUCGGGAAAAUUAGUAAAGUUGGCGCAAGGGUGAGUAUCACGUGAAUAAUCUGCCCUCGAGAUCGGGAUAACAUGGUGAAAACUAUGCUAAUACCGGAUAAGACCACAUUUCAUAAGAAAUGCGGUAAAAGGAGUCUCAACCUUCACUCGAGGAUGAGUUCGCGCAACAUUAGCUUGUUAGGUGAGAAUAAAAGCUCACCAAGGCUACGAUGUUUAGCCGGCCUGAGAGGGUGAACGGCCACACUGGAACUGAAGACACGGUCCAGACUCCUACGGGAGGCAGCAGUGGGGAAUAUUGCGCAAUGGGCGAAAGCCUGACGCAGCAACGCCGUGUGAGCGAUG
RNAcentral lists this ribosomal RNA (396 nucleotides) under uncultured Nitrospina sp. Its description in RNAcentral is "bacterial SSU rRNA". It matches the Rfam family "Bacterial small subunit ribosomal RNA", at positions 29 to 410 of the family's 1533-position model. Lineage: Bacteria; Pseudomonadati; Nitrospinota; Nitrospinia; Nitrospinales; Nitrospinaceae. The record is from RNAcentral.